This 1051-nucleotide unclassified non-coding RNA is filed under the name Zerene cesonia (dogface butterfly). RNAcentral describes it as "peptidyl-prolyl cis-trans isomerase NIMA-interacting 4, transcript variant X2". The record is from RNAcentral. Lineage: Eukaryota; Metazoa; Arthropoda; Insecta; Lepidoptera; Pieridae.
UCAUUUUCAAAGGUUGACGUGAUCUGUCAUUGGAAUUUGCAAACUAAAAUACUUACUUUUUACUAAAUCAAUUAUAUUAUUCUGUAUUUGUGGUGAUUUCUUAGGCUCUUCAUUUUGCUAUUGGCAAAUUAAAACUAUCUAUUCCAAAUACAAAUUUUUUUUAGGUUAAAAAAUUAACAUUCUUUUGUUAUCACCCUUUGAAGAAAAACAUUUUUCUACAUGGUCUAGAGGUUUUUUCCUAUACUUGGGACGAAAAAAUUUAAUAUGCCACCUAAAAAGCAACCCGACAAAGGUGGUAAAGGCGGCGGUGCAGCUAAAAGUGGUGGUAAACCGGGCGGUGAUGCAAAAGAAUCAGCCGGCAAAGAAAAAAAAGGUGGUACAGCUGUCAAAGUACGUCACAUAUUAUGCGAAAAACAAUCAAAAUGUUUGGAAGCAUUGGAAAAAUUGAAAGCCGGUCAGAAGUUCCCUGAUGUAGCCGCUGCUUACAGCGAGGACAAAGCGCGUCAGGGCGGUGACCUCGGCUGGAUGACGCGCGGCUCCAUGGUGGGACCUUUUCAGGAUGCUGCAUUUGCAUUACCAAUAUCUUCUGUGACGAAUCCUGUCUACACAGAUCCACCUAUUAAAACGAAGUUUGGCUAUCACAUUAUUAUGGUAGAAGGCAAAAAAUGAGUGACACAGUGUUUGAGUUUGAAUAUUUCUGGGCGAUCCUUUUGUUAUUUAUAAUGGAGAGAAUUUGUUGUCUCCAAGAACAAUUUGAUAAGGAUUUUUCAUUGCUACCUGAUCCACAACGAUCCCUUGACUCACUUGUUUCUAAUAUUGAAGAUUUUGCAAAUAGAGAUUCUGGAUUAAAACUUAGUUUUCUAAGGCUUUAUCGGUUAAUGCAUAUAACAAUGUUGCUCACUUUGGUAUAUUUUUGCAAUGUGUGCCUUUGGUUCAUCAUGAUCAAGAAAGUUCCAACUCGAACCCUCAAGUAUAGAUUUAAAUUAUCGUUUCCAUCAUAAUGCUUUUCAGGAUAUAAUGGAAAUAGUCUGAAAUAAAUCUGUUUGUUACA